UAUAAGUGUGCAAGGUGGUACAACUGUAAUUAGAUUUACAUCUAAAGAUGAAAGAUAAUGAGCAUUUCAAACCUCAAAUCUAACAACAAUGAAGCACGACUAAGUACCAAUUGGGGAGGAAGAGGAGGGUGAUGAGCCAUAAUUUUCCCUUUUUUGGGAGUGUCGUCUGGGAGUGAAUGUGGGAUUUGGGGAAGUGAAUGAGUGGGGGAGAAACAAGAGAGGAAUGGCAGUUGUGGCGGGCGGGUAAUGUCGGUUGACACACGCGGUUAUGGUAACCCGUAACCGCAUCUGGGCAUAUCCAAAUUGUGGUUUCAAAUAAGUCAAUUGAUUGGCAUUGGCGGGGGCGCAUUGUUUUUGUUGGGUAAGCUCCUUUACUUUACUCUGUCAAUAACAAGGUGUUCAUAUUGGGGUUUCGAAUUAGUUGUGUGGUGUGAUUGAUCAAGCGGAAUUGAUUUUUGUAAUUGCGCAAAGAGAAUAGAUGAGCUUGAUCAAUGGUUUUGUAAUUGCUGAAUGGGCCUCGUAUGCUUCAGGAUCGGAUUUUGAUUAUUUAUGUUCUCGGGGUUUGAUUCUGGAUUGCUUGCUUAUUCAAUUCGUUGCUCUAUGCAUCAGAAUGUCAUGUGCACUCUGAUAGGAAAAGAGCUACUUGAGUGUGUUUUCAGGCAGAGAUUGAAUCUUAUGUGCAACCUGGAUCUGUAUCAGUAUAUGUUCAUUAUGGACAGAGUUGACCAAAUGAUGCAAAUCUUUUAGCUCAAAGCCAUGUUGUGAUCACUACUACAUGUGGAGUUUUAGCAUCAGAAUUUUCUAUGGAGUUAAUGUAAACAAAUCCUAUUUUCGUAAUUGUUUAUGAGUUCUGCACUUGUGUAUACAAGUUGAGUUUGUGCAUCUGUUCCUUUCUCCUUGCCUCUCUGCAUCUAGAAUUCUAAGGACAAUGGGGGACUUUACUCAGUUAGUUGGUUCUUGUUGAGGCGCAUACCAUAAAAUCCUCUAAAAACCAACUCUCUAUUGCUGCUGCUGCUUUAGUUGCUGGUCGCUGAUGGUGUCUUACUGGCACCCCUAUACAGAACAAUCUGGAGGACAUUUAUAGUCUACUCCGGUUUUUGAGGGUAGAACCUUGGCCCUUGGGCGAAUUGCGCUUGGUGGAAUAAACUCAUCCAGAAACCCUUUGAGGAGGGUGAUGAGAGAGGGUUAAAGCUGGUUCAAUCUAUCUUGAAGACGAUUAUGUUAGGGAGAACCAAGUUUAGCAUUGAUCAUGAAGGCCAGCCUAUUUUAGUCGUUCCUCCUGCUGAUAUUGAGGUGAUUUAUUGUGAACUCACAGAAGCUGAAAAAGACUUCUAUGAGGCCCUGUUUAAAAGAUCAAAGGUGAAAUUUGAUCAAUAUGUCGAGUAAGGAUGGGUUCUUCAUAAUUAUGCAUCCAUAUUGGAAUUACGUUUACACCUUCUCCAAUGUUGUGAUCACCCAUUUCUUCUGAUGAGUCGAGAUGAUACACAAGAAUAUUCGGAUCUGAAUAAGCUUGCUAGACGGUUCUUAAAAGGCAGCCGGAAUUCUGUGGAAGGGGAAGCCAAAGAUGCGCCUUCACGGCUUAUGUUCAAGAAGUUGUUGAAGAAAUACACAAGGGGGAACAGGGAGAAUGUCCAAUAUGUCUUGAAGCAUUUGAAGAUGCAGUAUUGACACCUUUUGUUCAUCACUUAUGCCGUGGAUGUCUCUUGGCAAGUUGGCAGAAUUUCGAUUUCUGGCUUGUGUCCGGUUUGCAGGAGUGUAAGCAAGCAAGAUCCAAUUACAGCACCAAGAGUCAGUUCUAUGUUGAUAUUGAGAAAAACUGGGUGGAAUCAUCCAAAAUAGUUCUUCUUCUUUUGUGUGAGCUUGAAUGUCUUCGUUCAUCAGGCUCAAAGAGCAUUGUCUUCAGCCAGUGGACGGCCUUUCUGGACCUCCUGCACAUUUAUCUUUCUCGGAGUAACAUUCCGUUUCUUCACCUGGAUGGGACUCUGAAUCAACAGCAGCGCGAAAAGUGUUAAAACAGUUUUCAGAAGACAGUGACAUUCUGGUGGUUGCUAAUGUCACUGAAGGCCGGAGGAGUUGGAAUUAAUUUCAAUUAGAGUUUGCUAUAGAGGACAGAAGAUGGUGAACUUGGAGUUUUAAUACUUAAGAUCUAGAAGGGGUCUAACAGGUUUUUUGACUUCGUGCUAGUUAUAAAUGUUGUUGGGCUUGUUGAGAAGAAGAUCUUUUGUUUAGGAAGUUUUGUCAAAUUUUGACUUUGAGCCGGCGGUGCCGUCACUGUGGUGGUGGUUUCCGACCACUUCCGGCCAUUACAGGAAUAGUUUAUGUUCCUCUUUUUAUUCUACACAUCGAUACGAUCAUUUCAAUAUAUAGUUGGUAAUUUUUGGAAAUCGUAUGAGUAAGUUAUGAAUUUUUAAAAGUUUAAGGGUUUUCGGUUCGAUUGGUUUUCGAUCCGAGAGGAUUCGGCCGUCCGAUCGAUUUUGUAAUUUUGAUAGAUUGAACGUAUAAGUAUUCCGGAGACCUCAGAUGGUCUCGGAUGAAGUUUCACCUUGAUUGGCUUUACUUUCGAGAUUUUAGUGCAAAUGAGGGUUCGACACUUAAUUGUUUUUGAUUCGUGUACUAAGUUGUGUCGUACAUUCCUUGGGUGAUUGAUGGAGACAAGUCAAUACCUUAUCCUUGCUGUAAGAGAAGACGCAACGGGAUUUUGAGGUGAGUAAAUCUCACGAGGUUCAUUUAUGAACGGAGUUACUUUUUUUUCAGAAUUAAUGGUUAAAUUGUGAAAUCGUUUUUCA
Rosa chinensis is the source of this 2786-nucleotide long non-coding RNA. RefSeq lists it as uncharacterized. The transcript is spliced from 9 exons. The record is from RefSeq and is a predicted model, not a curated record. Lineage: Eukaryota; Viridiplantae; Streptophyta; Magnoliopsida; Rosales; Rosaceae.